CUCACGCCAUCAGAUGUGCCCAGAUGGGAUUAGCUAGUAGGUGGGGUAAUGGCUCACCUAGGCGACGAUCCCUAGCUGGGCUGAGAGGAUGACCAGCCACACUGGAACUGAGACAGGAUCCACACUUCUACGGGAGGCAGCAGUGGGGAAUAUUGCACAAUGGGCGCAAGCCUGAUGCAGCCAUGCCGCGUGUGUGAAGAAGGCCUUAGGGUUGUAAAGCACUUUCAGCGAGGAGGAAGGG
RNAcentral lists this ribosomal RNA (241 nucleotides) under Serratia sp. J77. RNAcentral describes it as "partial 16S ribosomal RNA". It matches the Rfam family "Bacterial small subunit ribosomal RNA", at positions 212 to 452 of the family's 1533-position model. Lineage: Bacteria; Pseudomonadati; Pseudomonadota; Gammaproteobacteria; Enterobacterales; Yersiniaceae. The record is from RNAcentral.